This 253-nucleotide ribosomal RNA is filed under the name uncultured bacterium. RNAcentral describes it as "partial 16S ribosomal RNA". It matches the Rfam family "Bacterial small subunit ribosomal RNA", at positions 524 to 776 of the family's 1533-position model. The record is from RNAcentral.
UACGGAGGGUGCAAGCGUUAUCCGGAUUCACUGGGUUUAAAGGGUGCGUAGGUGGGUCUGUAAGUCAGUGGUGAAAUCUCCGAGCUUAACUCGGAAACUGCCAUUGAUACUAUAGGUCUUGAAUCCUCUGGAGGUAAGCGGAAUAUGUCAUGUAGCGGUGAAAUGCUUAGAUAUGACAUAGAACACCAAUUGCGAAGGCAGCUUACUACGGAUGUAUUGACACUGAGGCACGAAAGCGUGGGGAUCAAACAGG